This 68-nucleotide transfer RNA is filed under the name Marmota monax (woodchuck). RNAcentral describes it as "tRNA.Ala". Lineage: Eukaryota; Metazoa; Chordata; Mammalia; Rodentia; Sciuridae. The record is from RNAcentral.
GGAUUAUGGCUCAGUGGCAGAGUGCUUUCUUAGCGUGCAUAAAGCACUGGGUUCGAUCCCCAGCACCA